Molecule: microRNA precursor, 151 nt
Filed under: Glycine max (soybean)
Lineage: Eukaryota; Viridiplantae; Streptophyta; Magnoliopsida; Fabales; Fabaceae
Source: RNAcentral
GUGCUUUUGAGCCAAGGAUGACUUGCCGGCGUAUGUUUGAUCUCUUCUAGGACUGUUGCCGGCGAGACAUCUUGGCUCAUUGGUGCUCUCUUUCCACUCAUAUGAGACUCUAGAAAGAGCUUGAUUGAAAGGAUGAUGUCCAAUAAUUGUG